UACGUAGGGUGCGAGCGUUAAUCGGAAUUACUGGGCGUAAAGCGUGCGCAGGCGGUUCGUUGUGUCCGAUGUGAAAGCCCCGAGCUCAACUUGGGAAUGGCAUUGGAAACUGGCGGGCUGGAGUGUGGCAGAGGGGGGUGGAAUUCCACGUGUAGCAGUGAAAUGCGUAGAGAUCGUAAGGAAGACCAGUGGCGAAGGCGGGUCUCUGGACAGUUCCUGACACUGAGGCACGAAGGCCAGGGGAGCAAACGGG
RNAcentral lists this ribosomal RNA (253 nucleotides) under uncultured bacterium. Its description in RNAcentral is "partial 16S ribosomal RNA". It matches the Rfam family "Bacterial small subunit ribosomal RNA", at positions 524 to 776 of the family's 1533-position model. The record is from RNAcentral.